CGCGUAGGCGGUUAAGUGAGUGUGAUGUGAAAGCCCCGGGCUCAACCUGGGAAGUGCAUCGCAAACGACUUAACUGGAGUAGUUGAGAGGGUGGCGGAAUUUCCGGUGUAGCGGUGAAAUGCGUAGAGAUCGGAAGGAACGUCAAUGGCGAAGGCAGCCAUCUGGCAACAUACUGACGCUGAGGCGCGAAAGCGUGGGAGCGAACA
RNAcentral lists this ribosomal RNA (206 nucleotides) under uncultured bacterium. RNAcentral's name for it is "partial 16S ribosomal RNA". It matches the Rfam family "Bacterial small subunit ribosomal RNA", at positions 568 to 774 of the family's 1533-position model. The record is from RNAcentral.